CGUGAAAUUAUUUUUCGGAAUUCCUCACACCGUCAUAGAGUAGUUGAAAAACAAAAAGGGGUUCCGAAAGUACAAGUUGUUGCUGUGACUGACUCGAUGAUUGAGAGGGUCGUCUCGACGAAAGAUAGAGAAAUUUGGCCAUAGUUUAGAUUAGGAAUACGUCAACGUAAUAAUAGUGGACCAAAUGUUUCGUCCGUGAAGAAUGGCACUUUUUACCUCAUGAAAUUCACCACCAUGCAUAGCUACACUACGUAAACAAAGUUGUUGAUGUAGCGUGAUCGUGAUGUCCGAGUGCUGCGAGUUUCAAUACUGUUUAUGUAGUCAUUAAGAGUUUAAAGAAAGUUUCUUCUGAGAAGAGGAAUUCGAUGGAUGCAUUCAACGUGGACAACGAAAUCAUUAUUUCGUUUGCAUCAUCCUAAGGACCAGUGCAAGUUGAAAUGGGCUUCGAGCCAACAACUUCAACAGCAAUUUGCCAUGAAAAUCAGCAAGAAAGGUACUUCAUUUACAUUGAUGAUGUCAUACCCCCUGGACACCACAACUUUACAGGUUACAGAGAAAAUUCAAGAACUUCUGCAAAAUGUGGGAUUUGGAUAGAAUCAAUUAAUGUAUUUGUGAUCCCAGAGCAAUGGAUAUAUUGUGCAGCAUACUAAAGUGUGAAUUUAAUGGAAAACAAGUACAUGUACUCAUGUAUUACAUGUCUUUCUUAAAGACAAUAAUAUUGCAUAAAUAUAGAGGAAG
Long non-coding RNA from Ostrea edulis (European flat oyster), 738 nucleotides. RefSeq lists it as uncharacterized. The record is from RefSeq and is a predicted model, not a curated record. Lineage: Eukaryota; Metazoa; Mollusca; Bivalvia; Ostreida; Ostreidae. The transcript has 3 exons.